GUAGUGAUGAUGAGUCCUAGAAAAGGACGAAACGGUUGUCCACUAC
RNAcentral lists this non-coding RNA (46 nucleotides) under Trichobilharzia regenti. The record is from RNAcentral. Lineage: Eukaryota; Metazoa; Platyhelminthes; Trematoda; Strigeidida; Schistosomatidae.